GUUUUGAUUAUGGCUCAGAUUGAACGCUGGCGGAAUGCUUUACACAUGCAAGUCGAACGGCAGCAUAGAGAGCUUGCUCUCUGAUGGCGAGUGGCGAACGGGUGAGUAAUAUAUCGGAACGUGCCUAGUAAUGGGGAAUAACUAGCUGAAAGGUUAGCUAAUGCCGCAUACGACCUACGGGUGAAAGCAGGGGAUCUUCGGACCUUGCGUUAUUAGAGCGGCCGAUAUCUGAUUAGCUUGUUGGUGGGGUAAUGGCCUACCAAGGCGACGAUCAGUAGCUGGUCUGAGAGGACGAUCAGCCACACUGGAACUGAGACACGGUCCAGACUCCUACGGGAGGCAGCAGUGGGGAAUUUUGGACAAUGGGGGCAACCCUGAUCCAGCCAUUCCGCGUGAGUGAAGAAGGCCUUCGGGUUGUAAAGCUCUUUCGCAAGAGAAGAAAACUUGCUAUCUAAUAAAUAGUAAUUAUGACGGUAUCUGAC
RNAcentral lists this ribosomal RNA (482 nucleotides) under Methylophilales bacterium enrichment culture clone NPHTC-042. RNAcentral describes it as "bacterial SSU rRNA". It matches the Rfam family "Bacterial small subunit ribosomal RNA", at positions 11 to 483 of the family's 1533-position model. The record is from RNAcentral. Lineage: Bacteria; Pseudomonadati; Pseudomonadota; Betaproteobacteria; Nitrosomonadales.